AUGGAAUACAACCCCGAAAUACUCAGCUGGAACAUGCGUGGCCUAAACAACCUGGCCAAAAGAAAGGCGGUGAAGGACUUUGUUGCCACGGUGAAAGUUAACCUAGUGUGCUUUCAGGAGACUAAACUAGAUGUAAUAGAUCACUUUAUGUUAAUGGAAUGCCUAGGCCGGUCUUUUGAUGGCUUUCUGUAUUUACCGACGGUGGAAACUCGUGGAGGGAUUCUUUUGGCGUGGGAUACCACCAUCCUUUCGGUGGAUAAUGUGCAGUUCGACACUAACUCUUUGACGGCACUCGUGCAUGCAAAGGAUGGUUCUACUUGGUGA
This 324-nucleotide ribosomal RNA is filed under the name Triticum aestivum (bread wheat). RNAcentral describes it as "partial small subunit ribosomal RNA". The record is from RNAcentral. Lineage: Eukaryota; Viridiplantae; Streptophyta; Magnoliopsida; Poales; Poaceae.